AUACGGAGGGUGCAAGCGUUACUCGGAAUCACUGGGCGUAAAGUGCGCGCAGGCGGCUUGAUAAGUUGGAUGUGAAAGCCUACGGCUCAACCGUAGAACUGCAUCCAAAACUGUCAGGCUAGAGUGUGGGAGAGGAAGAUGGAAUUAGUUGUGUAGGGGUAAAAUCCGUAGAGAUAACUAGGAAUACCAAAAGCGAAGGCAAUCUUCUGGAACACUACUGACGCUGAGGCGCGAAGGCGUGGGGAGCAAACAGGAUUAGAAACCCCUGUAGUCC
This 274-nucleotide ribosomal RNA is filed under the name uncultured bacterium. RNAcentral's name for it is "partial 16S ribosomal RNA". It matches the Rfam family "Bacterial small subunit ribosomal RNA", at positions 523 to 796 of the family's 1533-position model. The record is from RNAcentral.